AGAUUGUUGAGGUUAGUGAAAGACUUUUAUUCUUGUAAAUGAUAUUGGCCAUGGCCAAUACACAAUAAAUAUAUGUUUAGAUAUUUAUGUAUUCUUUUAAGAUAUGCCUUCAAAAACAAGACACUCACUUGAGGCAAAGUAUUUUCAUAGAGUGUAGAAUUGUUUUAACUCUUUAAUAUUUAGGCAAUAUUAAAGUUUAAAUAAUGGUUAGAAAUUAAUAAAAAAAACUUUAGAUACUAUAAAAAAAUGUUAUUAGUCAAUUUAAUUUUUUUUAUAGCUAUUAAUUUAAAAAAUAUAUAUUUUAACUUAGAUUUAGUAAAUUACUAAGGAAAUCUAUAAAAUUUCUUAGAAUUUUAUUAAUAUUAGGUAGAAUAGAUGGUGGUUACAUUCUCAUAUUAGAAUCUCUUUAUUAUAUUACUUCAUAUUGUUGAUGUAAGAGAUUUUAUUCUUAUUUACUUGAAGGAACUAUUAGUGCAAAAUAUAGUUUUUAGGAUUAUGAUUGUGGAUGGUGUAGUCAAAUUUAUGAUUAGAUAUAAUUCUAAAAUUCAAAAAUAAAAAAAUACCAUGAAAGAUAUUUUUUUUAUCUUUUAGAUUUAUUGGUGAUAUUUUUUAUUCUACAAGACUAAGGUUUUAUUCACUAUAUAAAAGAAAAAUAAGUAGAUUGCUCAAAAAAAAAGCUCUUUGGAAUUUAUUGAAUUAAUCAUGAAAAUAUAAGAAGGUGUCAUGUUAACAAUAGGGGGUAUUUUUUUACCAAUAAUAUAUAUAUAUAUAUAUAUAUAUAUAUAUAUAUAUAUAUAUUACCUUUGCUAAAAAAAUUCUAUUAAUUUUUGAUAAAUUAUAAAAAGAUGGAAAAACCAAUAUGAUUUUAUAAUGAUUAUGUUAUAUUUCUCCUAAGUUCUUAAUUAUGGCCUUGAUAGAAAAAUAUAACUUUAUAGAGGGAAAAAAAGUAGAGAUGGAAAAAAUAUAAGAGAAUACAAAUAGGUCUUUUUUGAAGAUGUUGUGAACAUCUCCACCUCUUUGUACUUGUUGAUGAUAAAUAAGCUCAACAUUUUAGCCAUUUAGCUAUCAUAGACAUAUACAUGUAAAUCAAUAAUUACCUAUAUGAUUAGAUAAAAGUAGAUGAAAGUAGAUUAAUUCCAUAAUAUCUUCUAUAAAAGCUUCAUAGAUAGUAUUUUGACUUUAUAGAUAUCUAUAAUUGACUUUUUAGAUUAGAAAUGGGCUUAAUAAGUUAGCUAUGUGCCACAUAUGUUGGUAGCUUGAAGACCAAGCUAACUAUGUGAUACAUAUAUAAAAAACUUGCUUUAUAAAUUAAAGCAUGUAUCUUACAAAGUCAACAUAUAUUAGAGGUCUUAUAGAACAUUGCCACAUAACUCUUAAUUUGAUAGUAUAUAUAGAGGUAAAAAUAAAGCCUUCUUUACUCUUGUCAACUCCUUUCUUGCUUCUAAUUUAGAUUUAAGAGUCUCUAAUUUCUUUGUCUUUUGGCAAUAGCCAUUUUAAUUUCUUUUUAAUAUACAUACUUCUUUAUUUUUAUUUUAUUAUACUUAUUUAUUUACUUUCAUAAAAUUUUUGUUCUUGAAAAAUUAAUAAGAGUAUAUUUAUAAUAAUAGAGCCUUAUCUUUUCUCGACUAAGAAUAAAUUACUUCUUUUUCUUGAUAAGACAAGCAUAUUAGAACUUACAGAUUACCCUCUUUUAAAUUAAUAUUAUUCUUCUUUAAUAUCUACUCCUUUUUUUUUAUAUGACUUAAGUAAAAUUAGAUAUUUUUUCUAAGUAUUAUUAUGGAAGAGCUUAUUGAAAUGAAGAAUGAAAUGGCACAAAUGCAAGAGAAAUUGAGAAAAUUAAUACUUGUGAUGCAUCAACUCAAUUUACUACCACAAGGAAUAAUAAAAAUGAUAUGAAGAAAAGAUAUAAAUAUGAUUGAAACUACUUCAAUAUCUGUACCAAAUCAUAUCCUUUGUCUUAUGAUGGAACAUCCUUUUGAUACUAGAAAACUAAAAGUUGCCUUACUUAAGAAGUUUGAUGGCACAAGGUUCGAGUUUCAAAGAUUUAUCAAUUAAAUACAAUUUGUGAAUGAACUUCAACUCUAAAGCUAUCCAAUUCUAGGAUCACAAGUUAGAUUCAUAGGUAUAUUUCUUUCAGGUUCAGUAUUAUUGUGGUUUUCAUCUUUUUUUGAAUGAUGAGAUCUAAUAUUAGAUAAUUUGGAGGCAUUUUUAAUAGAGUUUUGAUCCAUGUAUAAAAAACAUGAUGCAAUUCGUAUUGCAAUCUACAAGAUCUAUAUUUUAUGAGAAGAUAAUCGAUCCAUAUCAUUAUAUGCUUCACAAUUUUGAUAACUUGUAAUUAAUAUUAAGUGAAAUGAUGCUACACUUAUUAACCAAUUUUUCUAUGGAUUACAAUAUGAAGUAAAGAAAUUAAUGCUCAACUUAUCUGAUCCUCAAACAUUGAGUCAAACAAUUGACUUUGCUAAGAAGUAUGAUAAUUGACUUUUCAAAUUUUGAUUUGAGAGUCGGACAAGUGGGCUUCAAAGUUAUUAUAAUUCAAUGGCAACACCAAUGCUGUCAUGAUAUUAUAUGAGUACAUAGUAAAACUACAAUCAAAAUUAAAUUUCUAAUUAAUAUCUAAUUAUUUUAGUUCAAUAAUAAUUCAAGAUAUCUAAACAUGGCUUUUAUAAAAGCCUCUUAGGUUAUUUUCUUAUUUUAAUAGUUAGUAUGUUGAAGGUUGGUUAGUACUUUUACUUUUUAGGCUAGAAAGACUCUUAUACUACCUUAGAAAGACCAUAAAUUGAUAAAAUCAAGUUGACAGAGAUAAAUAAUUAGUAUGAUUGAUACUAAGGUUAAGUUGAAGAUAGGAUUGGGCUAAAAAAUCCUUAGGAUAGGUUAGAUUGAUAUCCAGGGGUCGAUCAUUUAUGAACCAAGGUCAAAAUCAGUUCUUUAGCUACUAAAAUGACCGCUUAGGAAAAAAUAGGGAUUCAUUCAAAGAUUGGAGAUUAGGAUUUGAGACCUAAGUUGGAGCUUAUUCCAAAGACAUAAGAUUGGUUUUGAAAGGAUUUAUAAAGACUUAGCAAUUUUUAUUGAAAGUCAAGGUUUGUAUUGGCAAGUUGAGAUUUAAGUAAUGAAAUUAGGGCUAGCACUUUCAAUUAGUUCGUAAAAUUGGUAUCACAUCUAUAAUUCAAAUUUCAAUGGUACUUGAUUAAUUAGGUUUUCUAAGUGUAUAUAAAAUUUUGUGAUAAUUCAAUGGUGCAAUUGAAAAAUAUCUAGGUUUUGCUACAAGAACAUAUUGGAAGUUGGUAGUUUGGAAUUAGAUAGGGUUUCUAUAAUAUCUAAAGAUCUAUUAGUUGGAUCAAGGUGAAAUUUUGCAUGAUAUUGGAAGACUUAAAGAUCAAGCUAUCCACCAAUUUUGGAUUGAAGUUAAUGGUUAGAGAAGAAGACAUCACUGCUGAAGCUUCUAUAUUACCUUUUAAGUUGGCAGCCAACUGACAUCAGUGCAAUUUUUGGAGGUUUUUUUUACAAUCUAUAAGUUGGAUUGGGCUGAAAUUUCUUGAGCGUAUAAAAGACUUAUAUUGCCAAUUGCAUACAAAAUUUUACAUCAAGUGGAUAGUCUAAUUAGAAGUUAUAGCUUGUCAAAGCUCACUAAUUAGAGUUAAGACUUGCAAGAAAAAUCUAAAUUACUUAAAUAUGAAUGUAACAAGGUAAUUGGGAUUUAUGUAUGAUUGAGGCUACUAAGAAUAUUAUUUUUAAUACUUUUAAAUUGAAAUUUUUAUUAUAUUCUUUUCAUAUGGGUGAAACCUAUUAGAAUUUUUUUGAUACUUGUGAAACAUAACUUCACCUCCCACAGCUAGAUGGCCGAUGCAUUUUCUAACAAGAAAAUAUGUAAUAUGACAACACCUCCUCAAUACAUACAUUUGGAAUUAGAGGAUAUACAAAUUGAUGUGGUACAUUUCAAACUUCUUACUGAGCAAGAAAAAACUCGUUGUCAUUAGGAAGGAUUGUGCUUAUAUUAUGGAGAACAUAAGCACAUUACUCAAUAUUGUCCAAAGAAAAAAUAUAAUUAUAAAGUAAGGAUUAUGAAUGUCUAAGAAGACAAUAUAUCAGAAAAUAAGUUUGUUCAACUAUAAUAGGGAUCAUGUGGCUUGAAUCUUAUACAAUACCUAAUGAAGGUCCUAUUUUUUCUCCAAAAUCUUCUCUUUGUUUUAUAUUAAAUAUUAUCUUAGGACCUAAAUAUUACAAAGCCUUUGCCUUGUUAGAUUCAAGAGCCUCAGUGUCUUUCUUAGAUGAAGAAUUUUUUAAAAGACUUAACAUAUCUUUAAAAAGGAAAACUAAACCUAUUCACGUAGAAGUCAUAGAUGGUCGCAUGUUGCUUUCUGGAGAUGUUACUAACAAAAUUCUUCCUAUAGAAGUAAUAACUAAUGGUCAUAAUAGCUUUGUGGGAUUUAAUAUCAUUAGAUCUCCCUCUAAUCCAAUCAUUUUAUAUUUAUCAUGGUUAAAAAAAUACAACCUUUGAAUAGAUUGGAUUUCUCAUACUCUUGACUUUUCUAAAAGUAUAACUAAGAGUGUAGUUAAUCAAGUAAAAAAUUACAAGUCUAAUAUAAUUAAACCUAUGUUUAUAAGUGCAAGAGCUUUCUUGCAUGCUGCAAAAGCAGGAUCACCUUGUGUCAUUUAUGCCACACCCAUUUCUAAUAGUUGUGAGUCAUAAAAUUGACUCACUAGUUAUUUUAGGUCAAAAGAAUGCAUUUAGAGUGCAAAAAUUACAAUUUUUAGGUGAAGAUUUUCUUAGAAGAGGUUAAAGGAAGAAGAAUAGUAUUAGUGGAAAAAAAAUGGAAUCUUAGUAAGUCUUAUAGGUAAUUAUUUUAGUUGGUUUAGUAUUUUUAUUUAUUAUUAAAUAAUAAGGAUUAGUUACUAAGAUCAAUAUAUAUAUUGAUCUUACAUCUAUAUGUAUUACUUAUAUAAAAUAUAAAUUUUAGUUAGUAGUUAGAAAAAAAAAGCAUGAGAAAAAACAUCAUGUCCUUUUAAUUAUUAAUACAAAAGUAGGAUUUAUAGUGGAUUUAAAUUGAUUUUUUUAUUAUAAAAAAUCAUCAAGAUAUGAAAUUGUAGCCUUAAAUGGAUAUUAUAAUUAUAGAAAUAUUAUAAAAUUUAUUAUAAUUUAUUUAGAAUUUAUUUAGAAUUUUUUAGGAAUUUUUAGAGUAAUUUUUAAGACCUUGGUAAAAAUGACUUUUACCACUGGGGAAGCUAUUAUGAAGAAAUGGAGUAAGAUUUGAAGGCCAUGCAAGGUUCCGAGGCUAAUUGGGUAUUUUUAAACACCAUGGUGUGGUCAAAAUUGUAAAAAUGAUGGUCCUUCUAGUAGAAAAUAGAAGGACCAAUAGCUAAUGUAGUUCUUGUAGGAAGGGAGGUUCAUAAGUCCCAUAUGGGUUGUAGCACCUUGAAGGUAAUUAGGAGGAUAAGACUAAGGCCUCGUGGCCUCUCUUAGACACCCAAUAUAUACUACAUGUGAACCUUGGUGAGGCUUGAACCCUUGACCUAUAAGCAAGUUACCCUUGAGGUAAAAUAUUUUCACUUGAUUUUUAUUUAUUUACUUAUUAUUUUUAAACCUCCAUAAAUUAUUCAUAGUAAUUCGGAUUUAUAUGUUUUUUAUAUCAUUAGAAAGCUUAAAAAAUUAAAUUUAUAAAAAUGUACUUUUUAAAUUUUACUUUUUACUUUUUAUUAGGUGAAAACUCCGUGAACAGACUAUGACCGAAUUUUGGAGUGUGUAUUUGCUUGUAUACAUUUCUUUCACUUGUUUGUAUUGUUUCUUCUUUUGUUCUUGUUCAUUUCAUCUUCCACUUCACAUUGCCCAUUACAAGAAACUUUUAAUUGAGGCCAUCUUAUAAUUUGGAUAGAGGGAUGAAAUUUACACUCACAUUUUGGUGCGUUUGCUGGGAGAUGGUGCUUCUAAUGGUGUGUGUGAAUGUGAAGUUUGCUUCUUAUGAUUGAUUUUGAUACAACUCAAGUUGACUUUUUAGGUUAUAUUAUUUCAAAUGAUGGACUUAUAAUAGAUCCUAAGAAAGUUCAAACUAUUAUAGAUUGAAAAAUCUCAAAAAUGGUUUGAGAUAUCCAAUAUUUUUUGAGAUUUAUUAAUUACUAUAGGAUCUUUAUAAAGGACUUCUCUUAAAUUUUAGCUCUACUUACUUGUUUGACUUGUAAAGACAAACUUCAAUGGAUUUAAGAAGCAAAGACAACAUUUGAAGCUUUAAAGACAACUUUUGUUUUUGCAUCAAUUUUAUAUCUUGUUGGCUUUUUUAAGGUAUUUUUUUAUGGAAAUAGAUACAUUAGACUUUGCUUUGAAUGUUGUAUUAUCAAAAAUGGAAUCAACUAAUAAACUUCAUCUAAUAGCUUUUCAUUCCAAUAAAUUUUUAACAUCUGAGAUUAACUAUGAAAUCCACAAUAAAGAACUCCUUUCAAUUAUAAAUUCUUUCCAAGAAUGGCAUCAUUAUCUAGAAGGCACUUCUAAUCUAAUCGCCAUGUAUACAGAUCAUAAGAAUCUUGAAUAUUACAUGUGAACAUGUAUUUUGAAUCAUCGCCAAAUUUUUAAGUAUGUCUUUAUUAAGAUUCAAUUUCAAAAUCACAUAUUGACUUGAAAAACAAAAAGGUUUAUUAGAUUCCUUUUUUAGACAUCCUUAUCUUAUAUCAAAAGAAAGAGAUGUAUCUUUUGAUCAAUAAAGAAUGAUUUUUUUAAAGUCUUUGUAUUUUUAUCUUCGAAUAAUGAAAUCAACAUUGAUUAUUGAUUCAAACUUUAUUAAACAAAUUCAAUCAAGUAUGUUUUUUAAUCUUCUUAUUCAUGAUAUCAAAAAUCUUUCUUUUAAGUUUCAAAAUACUUCCAAAUUUAAAUUUAAAAACAACCUAGUCUAUUUUAAAAGAUACCUAUAUGUUCCAAAAAGAGAGGCAUAUUUAUGUUGUCAUAUUAUAAAAGCUUAUAAUAUGUAAAAAUUAGUUAAAACAUAUAAUAUAUUCAUAAUUCUUAGUAUAUAUUAGAAUAAUUAAUAGAUUAAUUUAAAGAGAGUGGAUAUAAGAAACUUUAUUUUGAAUUUUAUCUAUUUUGAUUUUAGCAUUAAAAAAAAUACAUAGGACCUAAAUGUUUAGUAUGAAGCCUUAAGAGGAGAUUAGAACCUAAAGAUGAAAAUCUUAACUAGUAGGAGGCUUAUUGGAAGGGAUGAAAGUAAGACAUGGUUGGAUGAAGGCAAAGAAUGGAGAUCUUCAUUCUUGUUGGUUAAAUACCAUGUCCAAUGGACUUCAAAGAGGCUGCCCUAGGCCUUAUUAGGAAUUAGGAUUUUUUAUUGAAUUCAUUUGAGCUUUGGAGGCUAGAAUAAUUAAGUUUAGGUUUUUGGAUACAGAUUGGAUGCAAAUUUUGUGUGAUGUGGAGUCUUUAUAAAAGAGUUAUUGGCACUCAAAGUUAAGGUAUCAAUUUCAUACCUACUAUGACUCUUUCGAAUAUAACAUACGUUUACAAAAAGCAAUAAAGGAUCGGUGAUAAGGAUUGAAGAGAACACUUUUUUACUACACUUUUUAUAUAUUAUUUGAUGAAUUUAGAGUUUGAAUGAAGAAGUUAUAGAGUGUUAAAGUUAGAGCAUCCAAAUUAAAGGCAAUAAAUAAGUGAUUUUGUUCAUAGUAAUGGUUGGAGCCAUAUUUUGAGUUUUUGGACAAAUUUUUAGUUAAUUUUUUUUAAAAAAGAUAGAUAAUUGUAUUAAAAAACUAUACAUAUAAAUUUUGUGGUAUUUGGAUGUUUAUUUUGUGACAUAUGAAGAAAUUGCAUGCAGGUAUAUAAAAACUAGGAUUUGAAGCUAUUGUUAGGGUUUUGGUGAUAUCUUAAGAUCCGCGAUGAAUUUACAAUUGAAAUUUGUUGUUGGAGUUGUUAGAAGUAUAUUAGUACUUUAUGUAAAAUUUGAAUAAGUUUAGACAGUCGGAUCAGGAGAUAUGAGAUAUUGAAGUUCAAAAAAAAUUCCGCAUAAGGAUAUACAAGGUUUUAGAGGAUUUUAUCAUAUUUUGGAUGUUGUUGGUUACAUGAGGCUUAUAUAUUUGGUGUAAUUUCUCCAUAAAGAAAAAUUUUAUAUAUAAACUUAGGGCUUCCCUUAUUUUGAAGCUUGAUUGAGCAAUUAGUGACAAUCAAGAGCCCAAUACUUUCUUAAGGCAAAUUCUUUCUUCCUUGAUAAUGUAUUCUUCAAGCAUGCCACAAUUUUUUAGCAGUUGGAUAUCUUGGAUACAAUAAGACUUUAGAAUUGAUUUCUAGAGAUUUUUGGUGGCUGCAAAUGUAGAAGGCAAUCAAAGAUUUUAUUCAAUCAUGUGAUAUUUGCUCAAGAUCAAAAAUUCCUUGUCAUCGAUCUUAUAGACUUCUUCAGCCAUUACCUAUUUCAAAAUAACCAUGGUUUUUUGUUUCUAUGGAUUUUAUCAUGGAUCUUUUAGUCUCAGGUUUGUAUGAUUUUAUAUUUGUGAUAAUAGAUUAUUUUACAAAGAUGGCAUAUUUUGUGUUAUAUAUAAAAUCUAUCUUAAAUAAAGAAACAACCAAGCUUUUCCUUAACAAUAUCUAUUGAUAUCAUGGACUGCCUAAAGAUAUUAUAUUAGAUAGAGAGAUUGUCAAGGAUAUGAAUCUCACUGUAUUAUUUGAUCAUUAUUGAGGCCUUCAUAACUUCUUUAUAAUAAAAUAUUUAGAAUACCAUCAAAAACUAUUCUUAUCUCUAAUAAAAUUACCAAACAUUAGGAGUCUCUUCUAAGGUCAUGAUACCAAACAUGUUAUAUAUUGCCAGCUAUUUGAAAAAAGACAUGUUAUUUUUGAGGAUUUUUAUCUCAAUUUUGUUAUCUUAAAGGUUGUGGUUUGGCUACUAUGUGAAAAUAAUGUGAUUAUGUAUUUAAUAUAUAAUUUACUUAGCAACAUGAUGAGAGCCAUGUUAUUAGAUUUUAAUUGGUUAUAGAUUGUGAUUAGAUUACUACUUUAAAAGGAGGUUGUUUAAAAGGAUUACUAUUAAAAUUUAUAUAACUUUAUUUUCUUUUGAUAAUGGCUUUUGAGAUUGAUUUUGUUGGUGGUAACUUUAAAUAUUUAGAGUCACCUUUAUUAGACAUUAGUGACUCUUGAAGUCUUAUUUUAGUUCUUUAAUUUGAUGUUUAAGGCAUAUAUUAAGUAAAUCUUGUAAAAAAAAAAUUGAAGAGGGAUUUUGGUAGCAAAAAGAAAGUUAAGAGCAUCCAUAUAGAUGAAUGGAGAUGGAUGAUGAAAAUCUCCAUUUCCAUUGGUCAAAAAUCAUGACCAAUGGAUUUUGAGGAGGUUGCUUGAGGCCAUAUUAGAGAUUAGGGUUAGUUUUUCAAAAAUAUUUUUGCUUUAAAGACUAGGAUCAGCAAUUUUAGAUUUUUGGCUACAAUUUUGGAGCAUAUUUUGAUUCAUUUGGAGUUUAUAUGAAAGAAAUAUGGGCGUUCAAAGUUAGGAUGUUGAUUUUAUACCUAUUGUUAGACUUUUGGAUAUAACACAUGCGUACAGAAAGUAACAGAGGAUUGACAAUUAGGAUUAAAGAGAGCACUUUCUUGACUAUAUUUUACAUAUAAUUUUUGAUAAAUUCUAAGCUAGAAUAAAAAACUUAUUGGAAGUUAAAGUCAGGAUUUGGAAUUUAAGGAGUUAUAAGUGACCCAAAUUGCUAGUAGUUGUAUUUUGUGCUAUAUCUUGUGCACUUUGAUAAGAUUUUGGCUAAGAAUUUUUAAAAAUAUAUAUUUUAUAUUAUUAAACUUUAUACAUAAGUUUUGUGACAUUUGAGUUUUGGAUUUGUGAGAUAUGAAGAAAAUAAUACUUAGGUACUUAUGCAUUAGGGUUUUAAAGCACUUGCUAGGGUUUUUAAGAUACCAAACGAUUGGUAGAGAAUUUAAAAUUUAAAUUUUGUAAAGUAAAGCUUAAGAGUGAAUUUUAUAAUAUAUGUAAAUUUGACAAAAUUUGAACUAUUGGAUCAAGAUAUAUGAAUUUCUAAAGUUUAAGAAGAAAAAAUCCUUUGUAGGAAUAUUUUAUUUUGAAGGAAUUUUAUUAUAACUUGAGCAUUUUACACAAAAUAAGGGAAUAUUUUGGAAGCCAAGACUUUAUAUAUAUGUUGAAGAUGGAUAUGUUGAGCUAUUUUUGAAUUUUUGUAUAAAUAUGAGCUUUUGAGAGGAGAUUUUGGAUUUCUUUUGAAGUUAUUGAAAACCUAAUCUACGAGCAAAUGGUUAGCUAUGAUUGGUAUAGCCAAGAAUGUUAGAAAAUUUCUAGAUAUUUUAGAAAGCCUUAUGUAUAAACCUUCUUAAAUAUAAAAAUAUUUAUUAAUACAAUAUCUUUUUGAUAUUGUAGUAUUUAUUUGUCUUCUACUUUUAAGAUUAAAUAACUUAUUGGAGCUUUGCUAAGAAGUUAAAACUAAAUUCUCUACAGCUAGGUAUUCCAUGUAUUCCCAAAUAGAAAACCAUAAAAUACAACAAUGGUCUUUAUUAUAGCUAGACAAACUUGUUUUUUGUUCUAUUAUCUUCUUUGAUAUUUGUACUCUUUAUUUUAUAAUUGUGUUCUUUCUUUGGACAAUAUUGAGCAGUGUACUUAGAUUCUCUACAAUAUAAGUACAAUCUUUCAUGACAGCGAUGAAUCUUAUCUUGCUCAGUAAGAAGUUUGAAAUGUAUCGCAUCAAUUUGCAUAUCUUCUACUUUUGAAUGUAUGUAUUCAGGAAGUGUUGGUGUUGCCAUUGAAUUAUAGUAACGUUAGAGCCUACUUGUCUGACUCUUUGAUCAAAAAUUUAAAAAGUCAAUUGUUAUACUACAUAGCAAAGUCAAUCAUUUGACUCAAUGUUUGAAGAUCAGAUAAGUUAAAAAUCAAUUUUCUUACCUCAUAUUGUAAUCCAUAGAAAAAUUGGCUAAUAAGUGUAGCAUCAUUCCACUUAUUAUCAGUUACAAGUUGUCAAAAUUGUAAAGCAUAUAAUGUUAUAGAUCGAUUCUCUUAUUGCAAAAUAUAGAUCGUAUUGGUCGUAACACAAAUUGCAUCAUGUUUUCUAUACAUGGUUCAAAAUUCCACCAAAAUAGCCUCCAAAUUAUCUAAUAUUGAACCUUAUUAUUCAAGAAAAGAUGAAAACGACAAUAAUAUUGAACCUUAAAGAAGUGUAUUAAUGAAUCUAACUUGUGAUUCUGAAAUUGGAUAGCUUAGAGAUUAAAGUUCAAUCACAAGUUGUACUUGAUUGAUAAAUCUUUAAAACUUGGACCUUAUGCAAUUAAACUUCUAUCAAAGACAUGAAUCUCAAAGAAAGAAAAUUCUCAAUAUAUCCUUAUAUCAUUGAAAGAAACUAAAAAGACAUCCAAAGAUGAUAUAAUAUUGGACUAGAAUGGCUAUUACUUAAAAUAAGAAGACUAAAAAGUCUUAAAAUAAGACUAAAGAUUAUAAAGGCAUUGACAAGAGUGAAACACGCUUCACUCUUCACUCUUUCUUCCAUAUAUACUUUCUAAUUAGGAGCUACAUGGUGAUAUUCUAUAAGACCUCUAACAUGUGUUGACUUUGCUAGCUAUAUGUCUUAACUUGUAAGGCAAGUUAUCUAUAUAUGUACCACAUAAUUAACUUGUUUCACAGGCUACUACACAGAGUUAACUUGUUCUACAAGCUACCAACAUGUGAUUAAUUUAUUGGCCAAAUUUCUAACCUAAAAACACAUCUAAAGUCAAAAAUGCAUCCAUCAAGCUUCUAAGAAGCUUUUAGGAAGCUUUUCUACAAGAUUUUAUGAAAUUAAUCUAUAUUUACUUACUUCUAUUUAAUUAUAUAAAUAACUAUUAGAGUAAAUGUAUAUGUCUAUUACACUACUCUACCUUCUAGGGAUGAGUUUCACGAGCAGCAAUCAUCAUCUUUCAUAGAUCUUUACAAUUCUUCAUCUAAUUUUUGAUAGAUGUUGUCAAUAAAAGGCCUCAACCUUUUUUGUUGCAUUUACAAACUUCUUUGUUAGCUCUCAUGUACGUUCACUAAUAUAAUAUCUACGCUAAUGAAUAAGAUAUUCUAACCUAUUUUGGUGCCAUCUUGAAUCUAAGACUUCUUCUAUGUCAAAUUCUUGAUUAUUCUCCACUUCUAUAGGAAGAAGUUGCAUUUGUCUUCUUUUCGAGAUAUUCAUUAUCUUAUAUGGCUCAAAAAAGGACAUAUAAAAUACAAGGUCGUUCUUCAUAGACUCCGGUAGAUAUAAUCGAUAAGCAAUAAGAUUGACUUAUUCACUAAUAGGAAAAGAUCAAAGUUUUCAAUAGUCUAAUUUAUUACAAUGACAAGUAGUCUUGAUAUUGUGAUGAAGUAACCAUACCUUAUCACCUACAUUGAAUUGUAGUUGCUACUUGCAAAAGAUAUCUAUGUAGGUAUUUUGUUGUUCUUGAGCUUCCUUUAAUUGUGUCUUCAUUGUUGCAUACAACUUUGAUAAAUAAUUUGUUAAAUUUUUGGUGUAUGAUUAUUAAAUUUUACACAGUCAAAAAUAUCAAGUCAUAGAAUAAUCAUAAGUGGUAAAAAAAGGUGUUUGUUGAGUAGAAAAAUUUACUAAAUUAUUGUAUGCAAACUCUACCAAUAGUAAAAGAAUUGUCUAAUCAUCUUGAUGAUAGUUGAUGGUACACCUCAAAUACUACUCUAAAACUUAAUUCACUCAUUUCGUUUACCCAUCAGUUUGAAGAUGAAAAGUCGAAGAGAGCUUUAUAUCUACCUUUAGAAUUUUAAAUAAUUUUUUUUAAAAUCUUGAUACAAAUUGAAUCCUCCUAUCCGAUAUAAUAUCCUUUGGCAAUCCAUGAUAGCAAUAGAUAUUAUUAAUAAAAAGCUUAAUUCUUUCUUCAUUUGAAAUAGAUUUUGUAUAUGAUACAAAAUGUGCCAUUUUGGUGAAGUAAUCUACGAUUACAAAUAUAGAAUCAUAUAAACUUGAACUUAAAAGAUCUAUAAUAAAAUCCAUAGAAAUGAAAGACCAUGGUUAUUCGAAUAUAGUCAAUAGUUGGAAAAGUCCAUAGAGUUGAUAAUAAGGAGUUUUUGAUCUUGAAUAAAUGUCACAUGACUAGAUAAAGUCUUUUACCACCUUCCACAUUUGUCUUGCCACCAAAAAUUUCUAGAUUUAAGCUCUAAAAUUUUAUUGUAUUCAAAAUGUCCUACUGCUAAAAAGUCAUGACGUACUUAAAGAACACAUAAAUAUGCUUCUCAUUUUGGAACAUAUAGGCAUUCUUCAAAAUAGAGAAGGUUGUUCUUAAACUUAAACUUUGAGACUUAAAAGAAAGUUUCUUGAUAUCAUGAAUAAGAAGAUCAAAAGACAUACUUGAUUGAAUUUUUUUGACAAAGGUGAAAUCAAUAGUCAAUGUUGAUUUCAUUGCUCAAAGAUAAAAAUACUCUAGCUUCAAGAGGAUUAUUUUUUGUUGAUUAAAAGAUACGUCUCCUUCUUUUGGUCCAAGAUAAGGAUCUCUAGAAAGAGCAUUUGAUAAACCUUGUUGUUUUUCAGGUUGAUAUGUGAUCUUGAAAUCAAAUCUUGAUAAUGAUAUGCUGUAAUGGACUUGGCGACCAUUCAGAACACGUACUGAUAUGAAAUAUUUGACGUUCUUGUGAUUGAUAUAUAUAUUAUGACUAGACUUGAAGCACCUUCUAGAUAAUGAUGCCAUUGUUGAAAUAAAUCCAUAAUUACAAGUUCUUUAUCGUAGAUCUCAUAGUUAAUCUCGGCUAUUGAAAUUUUUUUGGAAUGGAAAGCUAUUAAAUGGAAUUUAUCAUUUAUUUCUAUUUGUGACAAUACUGCAUUGAAAGCAAAGUUUGAUGCAUUUUUUUCCAUAAAAAAUAUCUUAAAAAAGUUGAUGCGAUAUAAAGUUGGUGUAGAAAUAAAUUCCUUCUUCAAAGAAACAAAUGAUGCUUUGGAUUUUUUAUUCUACUUAAGUUUGUCUUUACAAGUCAAAUAUGUAAGUGGAACUACAACUUGAGAAAAGUACUUGAUAAAAAUUUGGUAAUAAUUAACAAAGUCCAAAAAGCAUUGCACAUCUCUAACUGUUCUUAGGAUCUCCUAAUCUAUUAUAGUGUGGACCUUCUUUGAAUCCAUCAUAAGCCCUUCAUUAGAAAUGAUGUAUCUCAAAAAAUCAACUUGAGUAGUGUAGAAUACACACUUUUUCAUCUUUGUGUAUAAUCUUGCAUCUCUUAGUUUUUGUAACACAUGAUAAACAUGAACUUCUACUCUUCUAUAUUCUUAGAAUAGAUUAAAAUAUUGUCUAAAUAAUAGACCACACAAUCAUCAAAAAACUCACAAAAGACAUCAUUUAUUAGAUGUUAGAAAGUACUUGGUCCAUUCAUGAGUCCAAAAGGCAUGAUAUUAUAUUUAAAAUGUCCAUAUCCAGUUUGAAAAGCAAUCUUCCAUUUAUCUCCUUCUUUGAUGCGAACUAGGUUAUAUGCUCUUCAUUGAUCUAUUUUUGUAUAGAUCUUUGCUUCAUUUAAUUGAUAAAGAAGUCUUGAAAUCAAAUAUAGAAGAUUCUUAUUCUUGAUGGUGAACUUGUUAAGUCCUCAAUAAUCCUCACACAUCUAUAGAAAUUCGUUCUUUUUCUUCAAAAAUAAGGUAGAAGCCCCGUUAGGAGCCUCGACUGGAGAAUCGCAUAUAAAGUUUUUAAUCAAGUUUUCAUCAAUGUAAUCUUUGAGUGCAACCAAUUCAUUUUGUCAUAGGCUAUAGAUUGGUCCAAAUAAUAGUUGAGUUCCUUCUUGAAGAUUGAUGGUACAAUCAUAAAAAUAAUGCUCUUGAAAAAUAUUUGUAUUUUUUUUUUCUAAAACAUCUUUAAAAUCUUGAUAUUGACUAAGAAUACUACUUAAUAUCUUUUCACCAUCAACAAUGGAUGUUGCAUAUAUAACAAAAGAUGGUCCUUUAUUUGUGGCAUGCAUGAAAUUUUUUGCACUUAUUAAUAAAAGUUUGGAUAUAUUAGACUUAUGGAUUUCUACUUGUCUAACAAGACCUUAAGCUAAACUAUCAAAAAAAUCGAGAUUACAAGAAAUCUAGUCUAUUUGAAGAUUAUAUCUUUUAAACUACAAUAAUCCUAAAAUAAUUGGAUUAGAAAGAGACUUAAUCACAUUAAAUAUUAUUAUACUAUUAUAACUACUAAUUACUACUUAUGUAGGAAUAGUUUCAUAUAUAACAUUUCCAAAAGAUAAUGAACAUCCAUCUAUUACUUUCAUAUGCACAAGUUUGAUUUUCUUAACUAAGGAUAUAUCUUGUUUUUUGACAAAGUCUUCAUCUAUAAAAUCAAGUUGAAACUCCUAAAUCCAAUAAAGCUAAGACUUUGAUUUUUUGGUUCUAAACACACUUCUAUUGUAAAACAAGGUGAAAAAUCAUAGGUGAGAAUAAGACCUUUGUUAGAUGUUACAUAUAAUUCCAACCUCAUGGUCUCUAUUGUAAUUUUUGUAAUUAUUGACAUGAAAUAUUUCUCUUUCAUUUCUGAUAUGGAAUGCAUCUAAUACCAUUUUCACAUUCAUCAACACACUAUAAAAUACGAACAAGCUACAACAUCAAUUUCUAAAUGGACUCAAAAAAUAUUUGAAAAAUACAACUUGACAAUAAAAUAUGAACAACAAGCUACAACUUCAAUUUCUAAAUGGACUCAAAAAAUACAACUUGUGAAUCUCAAUUGCUCAAUUAUUUAGUAGGUGAUGUAAAUUUGUCGUGAAUCCAAAAAUUUGUGCUCAUUGAACUUCAAAGCUUUGCUUGAGCGAUCACAACGAACUAAUUAUUUUGGAAUCUCAUCACUAGAAAAGAUUGCAGAGGUUACUGUCAAGAUAAGCUGAGCAGUUGGGGCCUCACUGCCUUGAAAGCCAACACCACUGUGUUACAGACAACCAGAGUAAUUUUAGCCCACCUCAGGAUUCGGAACCAAAUUCACGUUCUGUUCUUCGUUUUCGUCACAAAGUCACAGCUGAUUGCUCUUUCAAGGUCCUAAGAUACUCUCGCAUCAACUUGAACUUAUUUUUGCUUAGAGAAUGAAGAUAGCUCCAAGUGUAGAUCCCAGUGUCAUGCAAGUCGUCAAACGAUAUUUUGUGGUAAGGCAUCAAUGAUAUGUUUUAGAUGCUUCUGAUCACAGGAGGGGUCUGUGUUCAAAAACAGUGUUGAGAAACAAAAUAGGAUGUGCAUGGUGCAAAUACUUCUGAACAACUGUGCACCAUAACAUGUACAAGAUGUCUCUAGAGUUUCAGUUGGGAGAACUUGAGCCUGCCACUUGAUGCAAGAACAGAUUCAUUGAUUAACAUAGAAGAAAAAACCUGAAGUUUAGUGGGUGAAUUCCACAGUACUCUUGGGCAUUCAGAUUGUAAUUUUAAUAGAGUUUACCUGAUUGCAUAAUUUCCAGUGGGUUCAACUGAUAUGAUGGUGACAUGUCUCCUUCUUACAACUGCCUGCACAUUGUCAUUUCCACUUGGUUGGAACAUUGCUCACAAUGUAGAUCCAGACAGAGGUUUAAAGGAAAAAAUUGCGGCGACAUCCAUUGGCAGUGCAAGGCUUGGAGUUCAAAUUCAAAAUUGCGAGUAGAAGGUUAGGAGCCUAAAAUAUUUUUUCGUAUUAUUAAUGAAAAUGACCGCAACGCCAGAUAUAAAGAUGAAGAAAUAUCCUAAUUGUUCCUCUCGCUGAAUGACGCUGACUGUCAACUGUAGAACUUUUGACACAAAGAAAUUCUGCAGAGUAGAUGUAUUUGUCUCUGUUGUUAAACUCCACUUCCAAAGCCUGCAAAUAUAAAGAAGUCGAAAUAUUCUCUCAUUGAAGUUACAGGAAAAAUGGCACAACUUGAUGCAAGCCUACACAAAGGUAACAAUGUCACCAACACAUCCAAUUAACGAAACUAACUCCUCUAACCUAUGAAUCCUAAACCUAGAAGGUAGUCACAUGUCCACGGUAAUCGAAAUUGUGUGUCACAAGCGAAUCUACGAAACUAGCUACUCGUAGAAACGCUGCAUAAGAAGAAAGCUUAUAGAAUGCGAAACAAAAGGAUGGCAAGUACAAGAUGAGAUAAGACGUUUACCAACGUGGAUUGCAAACAGCUUACCUUCAAAUUGGGGGUAGAGGGAGGGACAGCCCGCAAAACAAUUUUGGUGGCACAAAUGGGGGAGGAAGAGAAAGAGGUAGCGAGGCCUCGUAUAAGACAAUCCCAAGACAAUCGUCCCAGGACAAUCUGUUUCAUACAAGCAAUUGGAAAACAUCAAUCUCAGUUGGUACAACUCCAAGAUACCACAGUUGCUCAGACUUACAGAGUCUUAAUCACUCAAGAUGGCUCGAGUCUCAAAUAAGACACCUCUUCAGGACAAAAACUCAAUUUUCUUGCAAGUCCAAUCAACCACAUACCGCUUUCUUCUCUUUUCCUACAAAAGACAAACCCGUCUAACUCUCUGAAUCGACCCCUAGGAACAAUUACAAGCAGUUGUAGCACGAUCACACAAGAGGCCCUCAAAAACUAUUUAAAAAUCCUUCCACUAAGCCAAUUGAUGGUAGCCGGCUGCUCAACCAAGAUUGAGACACAUAACAACAAAACUUACACAAUCCAGAUUCUCUAUGAAAGCCAUCAAUUCAUCCUCCAGAUUCAAUACACAGAUUCCUCCAACCAAAACUUUUGCCCAUGCACAAACAACAAUCGCAUCAAGAGCUAAACCACAUAGACAAGAUUCCACAAGGAAACAAACUUACGUUGAUUCGCGUCCUCGGGGACCGCUCCAACAGGAGCAUCUUCCGUUUUUUCCACCAUUAGACUCCUUUUCACAAUCAAGCCCCUCACACAAGAACCUCUACCACAAUCCUACACUCUUCUACUUUCAUGCAAACUAACACAAUUACUCCAAGGUUACAAAAACACAUCAAUUCAAAGCUUGAAAAAUCCUAGCUCAAAAACCCAACUUCCAAAAAACAUAGUUACCAUCCAAACCUAACUCUCCAACAUAUAAAACAGCUUUUCAUAAUUUCUUCGCUACAGAAUAAACAGCGUGUAUAUAGCAAACUUGAGCAACUAGGUAACGAAACAAGACGUUUACACAACUCAAUAAUUGACAAAUCUGACAAAGCAACUUUUACAGUUUGAUCAUGGAGCUGAAAAAUCUCUCGCAAUUUCCACAAUUCAACUGAUCCAUAGUAGGAGCUUGAAGGGGAACACAGAUACUUCGGGGAGGACCUUAGGGCGUCCCAAAGCCCUAAAAAUCCAAAGAAUCCCGGUUACUGUAGUACCGCAAAGACCGUGACCUGUUUAUCUAGGAAAUGAUUAUAUCUUGCUGGACGUAUCUACGUUUUUUCAAAAGAGGAAGCUGCUAGUGCUCCUGUUCGUAACUCUAGGGUGUGGAUGAAAGGAACUUUGUAGGUGAUAUCGUAUUAAUACGUAUGCAAAGCAAUUAAUCUACACCCAAUUGUCAUCGUGAGAUCUAAUAUGCAAUCUCAAUUUCAUGGGCAAAAUUCACUAUUGCAAUACGUAAAUUAUACCAAUUUUGUGAUGUCUUCUUGUGUUUUUUACUCAAAGUUGAACUAUCUUUGUCCAAUCACAUUGAAUUUGGCACAAACCAUUAAACAAAGAGGAGUUUUGAAGAUACAAUUCCAAAUAUAAAAAUAUAAAAAUAAAGUAUGUACAAGCAAGAUCCAUAAUAUUGGUGACACAACAUAAAGUGCAAAAAAAAAUGAUGGUAACUUGAAAAAGGAUUGUAUAACAUUAAUUUUACAAUGAAAACAUAAAAUUAAUUUUAAAGACAACUAUGGAUAUGUAAGAAAUAACAUACAUAAGCAUUUUGUUAUGUAAUUGAUAAAAAUAGAAACAUAUAUAACGAUGUCAUAAUAAAAAAAAAAAAAUAUAGAUAGAAUAUGAUAUAAAACAUUAAAAUUUGAAGGAUUGUGUAUAUAAGCAAUCAUUCCAACCAAUCAACUUGUGGUAAAAAUUCCGAAAAUGAUCUUUAAUAAAACAAAAUAACUAUAUAAUAUAAAUUUCAAAACCUAUCUCAAAAUCUAUAUAGAAUGUAAUAAAUCAUUCAAGGUGUUAUAAAAAGAUUACAAUUUAAAGUUCAUAUAUUGAUUGAAUGUUAUAAGGGGUCUUUAUAUCUAGCAUCAUAAUUUAAAAGGGCAUGGUAUAAAUGUUUUUCAAAAGUCCUCAACUUAGUGAAAACAAAACAAAAUCUUCUUUAGAAGCCUUAAAUAUAUUACAAAGUUAGUGGAGACUAUGUUAUGAAAUGAACCGCUUUUAUUUUUAUUUUUAAACUGUAAGUCUAAAUAUGUCAAAAAAUAUCUUGAUUCUAACCAUUAUACCAAAUAAAAAUAAUUGGUUUCAGUUUUUUUGAGAUCAUUUUUAAUUACUUUAGUGCUAUACCAAACAAAACAAACAAACAAACAAACAAACAAAAACAGGUACAUGUAUAAGUAUAUAUGAUGUCUUAUUCAAUAUGAAGAAAUGCACAACUUUUUUUAAAAAAAGAGGCACAUCUCUAAAGAAAACCAACUUUAAGAUUGGCAAUUCAAACCACAUCUGUUAAUGCAUUAUUUGUACAAUAGAGUAUUUAAUUUUGAUUCCAUUGAAUUUUUUGUUUUAAUCUUUAUAAAACAUCUUCAUCGUGGCUUAUCGAAACAAAUAUUAACGCAAAUGUUUGCAGUUAAUUGAAGGAAGUUAGAGAGUAGACAGAAGUCAGGGGUCUAACUUUCAGGUCUGAAUCGAAGGUUCGGCCAAAAUUCGCUGUGAAAAGAAGUUUCUCCAAUCGUCCCACCCCAUCUUUCAUCACCAAGUGCACGGCAGCAGCUGCAUCAAUUGUUGUGCACAAUCCUUAUAAAUCAACGCAACAGAUCAACUCCACCCAGAGUGGCGCCGAUCACACAACCGUAAAGCAAAACCGUAAUCCUCAGCGGCUAAAACCAGUUGACGACACGGGAAAACAUAGAAACAUGUAUAAGCAAAACAGACAGCAGACGGUAUGAAAUUCAGGAGAAAGAGGAGAUUGGUAGAGACCGAUACUCGAAGUAAAUAUUAGUUUCUGGUUCAAUGAAAACAUCAAAUGGAGGAGCUGCAGAGUAAGUGUAAGGCUGUGAAUGCUGACCGCAUUCAAAGCGACCAUAGGAUUAAUUUCAAGCCCGAUCACAGUUCCAUGACCGCCAACAGACGUAUCAGCGUGGAAAGCUAAACGCAUCAAGCAACAAACUACUCCCGCAUCACAUUCUAGCAAAUGAACCUUUGCUGAAGUUGUGAACACAGCUCAGGGACUUCAUGCGCUGCAGCAAGCAGGCAAACCAAGUUGACAAUCUUCGUUAUGCAGCUUGGGAUGGUGCGAUCAAGGCGGGCUCUCCAGCAGCAGCGCGGGCCUCGUGGUUCUCAACUUCAACAGCAACUGGAGGCACAUGUGGACGGGCCACCGGAGGACCUCCACAGAAGAGGUAAUCGAUCUCGCCAGGCAGGAAGGUCAGACUGGAUUCAAGAGGAAGAAUUGGGGGAAUCGGAUUGGAGCCCAUCGUGACGGAUUCACUCUGCAAUUCACAAUGACUACGCAACUUCUGAAGCCAAAUCAGUGCAAGUCGAAACCGCACUCACUGAACUGAAUUCACCGCCUCACAUCAAGCUCGUCAAAUCAACUAAAUACUCGUCCCACAAAACACACUAAAUCCGCGAUGACAGAUUUCGGUCUUCUAUUUCUAUCGAGCUCGGGGAGAACCUGGAGAUAUAUAUAUGUUCGAGGUUUAUUUGGAUGAAUUCCUCCUUCUCCAUUGGAUGGAUGAAAUUUUUUUCGGUGGCACGUAUGAAAUUUUGAGGGAGGGAGGGAUCUCUCAUCAUCAUAGGAGCAGCCGGGUCCAGACCGGGGGCAUCGUCCUCACGUGAAGCCGUAACCCCAUGGGAGGGAAUCUCUGAUGUUCCACCAAAGCACCGUAACCCACAUGGUUGCAUGCAACCAUGGUGCAACCAUGGCGACGGUGCAACCAUGGCGCAACCAUGGCGACGGUGCAGCCAUGGCGCAACCAUGGCGACGGUGCAACCAUGGAUGGCGACGGUGCAACCAUGGCGCAACCAUGGCGACGGUGCAACCAUGGAUGGCGACGGUGCAACCAUGGAUGGCGACGGUGCAACCAUGGCGCAACCAUGGCGACGGUGCAGCCAUGGCGCAACCAUGGAUGGCGACGGUGCAACCAUGGAUGGCGACGGUGCAACCAUGGCGCAACCAUGGCGACGGUGCAACCAUGGAUGGCGACGGUGCAACCAUGGCGACGGUGCAACCAUGGAUGGCGACGGUGCAGCCAUGGCGCAACCAUGGCGACGGUGCAACCAUGGAUGGCGACGGUGCAACCAUGGCGCAACCAUGGCGACGGUGCAACCAUGGAUGGCGACGGUGCAACCAUGGCGACGGUGCAACCAUGGAUGGCGACGGUGCAACCAUGGAUGGCGACGGUGCAACCAUGGCGCAACCAUGGCGACGGUGCAACCAUGGCGCAACCAUGGCGCAACCAUGGCCACGGUGCAACCAGAAAUAUUCCAAAACGCGCCAAAUACGUGAUUCAUUCAUCCAAUGUGUGAUGAAAGAUGGGGUGGGACGAUUGGAGAAACUUCUUUUCACAGCGAAUUUUGGCCGAACCUUCGAUUCAGACCUGAAAGUUAGACCCCUGACUUCUGUCUACUCUCUAACUUCCUUCAAUUAACUGCAAACAUUUGCGUUAAUAUUUGUUUCGAUAAGCCACGAUACAGAUGUGCCCCUCACCCUCAUAUAAUCUCUUGAAGGUCCAUUGCAACUGAGACCUCUGCCGAGUAGCAAAGAACCUGGACAUUGUAGAAUUUGAAUAUUGUUGAUAGAAGAUACUUAUUAGGCCAUUUUUCCAAUGUAAGAACUGGUGUGCCGAUGAUUAUCAAAUCCCAGUGCAGAAUCCAUUUCGCUUGGGUCAAAUUAUUUUCUGCAACUAUCAAUUUUAUUUAUUGUGCUUCACAUAUUUGUGAAGCACAAUGACUAAAUAUGUGUGUGAGUGUGUGUGUUGUACAUAGUUAUACAUUAAAAAAUAGGAUUAUGGUUCUAUGUGAUUGUCAUAUCGUGUGUUUUACAGUGAUUGGUUUUUUAUUAUUGUUAUUAUUAUUAUUAUUAUUAUUACUUCACACUACGUUUUUGAAGUGUAGAGCAUACUGGAAUAGUAGAUUAUCAAAAUAUGGAGCAUACACAACGAGUGUCUUUUAAUCUCACUGAUUCAAAUGAAUUGGUUGAGUUCCAUAUGAAGGAGGUUCAUAAAUCGUGUCAAAUUUUCGGAGGUUUACUGUUGGUGAUUUUUGCACGUUUAUUUUGUCUCAUAAAUUCAAUAAUCCUUUAAAGAGUAACUCAAUCAUGAAUUAUUAAAAGUUAGCUUUUUUCAUUUUCAUUUGAACACUUUGCUGCAUCUUAGUUAUGAACUCUUAUUGAAAAGCAAAUCUUGAGUAUAUUCUCAUUUUUCAUAUGUUUUUUUUUUUUUUUUUGUAGUUGCUUUUACACAUGUGUUCCUUGUUUACAGAUGUAUACCAACAUCCACAUACAUAAAUAAGAAUAAAUUGUGUAGUCGUGUAUGAAAAAAACAAUGAAAUUAUUAUAUAAGUCAUUGAAAAUAAAUUGUUGAUUUUCAACAACUUGAGUAUGUAAUGUAUCAUAUACAUAUAUUAAAACUUAUAUUUUAUUAUAAGAAUUUAGAAUAAAAAUAUUAAAAAAAAAUAAUUAAAUUAUAGAGUUGUUUGAAAUACUUGCUAAUUAAGAUGUUUUAUAAAGUUAAAAAAAAAUGGAAUUAAAAUUAAAUAUUCUAUUGUACAAAUAAUAUAUCAAUAAGUGUGAUUUGAAUUGUUAAUUUUAAAGUUGGCUCUAUAUAGAAAUGUGCAUCAUUUUUUAAAAUCAAUUGUGCAUUUAUUCAUAUUGGAUAAAAUAUUAUAUAUAUAUAUAUAUAUAUAUAUAUAUAUGUGUGUGUGUGUGUGUGUGUGUGUGUGUAUUUUUUUUGUUCAUUUGUUUAUUUGUUUAUUUUGUUUUGUUUGGUAUAGCACCAACUCACAUCCUAAAAAUCUUUUUGUAGAGCACUAGAUGUGCUAAGAAAAAUAGUUCUUAUAGACUACCUUGAUUCCUCUUUAAAAUAUUUAUUUUUAGAAAUGGUCAAUCUUUGACUUAGCAAUUGUAAAUUAAGCUUUUAUAUCUUUUUCAUGGCCAAUAACAUAGGUUUCAAUUAGUUUGUGUAUUAUAUAUAAUUAUUGGAGCUUAGAAGGUCUUUAUUAUUAAAGAAUAAGAUGAGAAGGAAUGCAUUGAUUUUCUUACAUUGCAUAAAAAAUUAUUUUUAUAAUAUAUAUAUAAAAAAAUAAAUAUAUCCAUUUUGAAAGAUAGUUUUUAAAAAAAUAUUAAAAAAUUGUAUCAAAAGGUAUUGAAAAUAAUGUCAAAAAACUAGACAAGAAAACUAAAGUCUCUUGAAAUAAGAUUUAGAAAAAAAAAAGGCAUUGACAAGAAAAAAUAAGUGUCAAGGACAAGAAUUCAAUGAAAGCAAUUAAAGAAGUGAGACUUUUUUGAAAGAAAGAUUUAUUGAAAGAAAUUAGAAAUAAGAAAGUACGUAUAUUCAAAAAGAAACUAGAAUGGCUAUUGCCAAAAGAUAAGAAAACUAUAAUACCUUCAAAUUAGACUAAAAGCAAUAAAAGAGUUGACAAAGGUCAAGAAGGCUUCACUCUUGCUUUUAUAUAAACUACUAAUCUAAGAGUUAUAUAACAAUAUUCUAUAGGACCUCUAGUAUAUGGUUAAUUUAUAAGACACAUGUCUUAAUUUGUAAGGUAAGUUUCUUAUACGUACACCAUAUUAUUAACUUCUGUUGAAGAUUAGCAAGUUUUUACUUAAUUACGACCAUAUAAAGAUUAAGCAUAAUAAGUUGCUAAUAGUUAAAAGGCAGCAAAGGAUUAAUAGAAGUUACUAUGGUAGCGGCUAGGGUUUUAAGGUCGUGGCUAGCUUAAGAUGAAUCUAGAUGUAGAUCUAGAUUGAAAGGAUGAACGUGACUCUGAAUUUAGAUCUAAAUUUAGAUCUUGGUUUGCUCUUACUUGUGAUUAAAAGCAUUUUGGUGUUGGUAUUUUGUUUUUCCACCUAAGGGCAAAGUUUGCAUUGUGCUAUUGUUGAGAGAGAUCCUUAGUGAUAAAGCUUUAUAAUUUCAUGUCCUAAAGUUGCUGAUUGUGCUUUAUAGGCCUCUUAUGGUGUAUAGAGGUGAUUUGUGAGCAUAAAAGAGAUAUUAGAAUGGAAAAUUAGAUUUUAGAUACUUGGAUAGGUCAUUAGACUUGUGAGAAGUCUUAAAAGUGAAGUUGAGAGUAUUUUUGAAAGUUAAAACACUAAUUUUUUUACAAAGAAGGAUUCUAUGAUUCUAAGGCAACAAAACCUUCUUACUGAUUUUGAGAGCAUUAGGACUUCUUCUUACAAUCUUUUUUGAUAAAACUCUUCCUUAGACAUGGCUUCAAGUGAAGAUGAAGGAUUGAGAGUUAUUGAGAAGUUUAGAGGUGAGAAUUUCUACUAUUGGAAUGUAAAUUGGAGCUUUUGUUGGCAUCUUUGGAUCUUUGGGAUAUUGUAGAUGAAAGUGAAGAGGCUCCAAGAAAAGAUAUUGAUAUGAAAGAAAAAAAAGAGUUCAAACAUUAUAAAAAGAAGGUUUUUGGAUUGAUUACAAGCAAUGUGGAUGAAGCCAACUUCUUCCACAUUAUCUCUUGUAAAGAACCAGCAGAAGCAUGGAAGACUCUUUGCAACAUCUAUCAGAGUAAAAACUUAUCCAAAAUCAUCUAUACAAGGAAGAAGUUCUUUACUUAUAAGAUGGAAGAAGGUGAAGACCUCAUGGCUCAUGUCAAUAAGGUAAAGGCUCUUGUAAAUCAACUAGCAAUUGUUGACAAGCGUUUAGAAGAAAGUGAAAUUGUCAUGAUCUUACUAAUGAACCUUCUCAAAUCCUACAACUACUUCAUUGUGGCAUUGGAGUCCAUUAAGCUAAAAGAGCUUACAAUGGAUUAUGUGACAACAAGACCUGCCCAUGAAGUAACCAAAAAGAAAGAAAAUGAGCCCUUAAGUGAAGAUUCAACACUCUAUUCACGUUAAGGCAAGGGCAACUAUUCAAAUGAACGAGGUUAUAUCAAAUCUUGCUUUAUUUGUGGCAAAGUAAGUCAUUUUGCUCGAAAUUACUACAAAGGUAAAAAGAUGGAGAAAGAGAAUACAAAUAGUGUAUAAGAUGAGUUUGGAAGACAAGAUUAUGCAUUCAUGGCAACAAAUCGGACCUCUAUAGCUACCAUAUCAAGAUGGAUUUUGGAUUCAUGUUGUUCCAAGCAUAUGAUACCUUAUAAGUAUUCAUUUGAUACUUGUGAGGCUAUUUCAGCAUCAAACAUGGUGUUGGCAGAUAGUGGUAUAUGUGAAGCCAUUGGAAUUGGCUCUACUAUAGUAGAGGUGGUUGUAAAUGGACAAACCAAUAAGAUGAGACUCAAAAAUAUCCUUCAUGUGCCUAAAAUGAAGCAAAAUCUACUUUCAGUGAGUAAACUUGUAACGGAAGGUUUUAAAGUUCAAUUUGAUAUGAAUGGAUGUUUUGUAAGAACAUUGAGUGGAAACAAGGUCUUCAAAGGCUUAAAAGAGGGAAAUUUGUACUACCUCAUUUGUAAGAAGGUGAAUGGAGUGGAAGUAGCUGCAUUUGUUGAGUUUACUUCAAACCAAGAGAAGUUGAAUAUAUGGCAUCAUCGCCUUGGCCAUUUGAAUGUGAAGAGUAUGAAAGAGCUCAAGACUAUGGUAAGUGGCUUAAAUCUUGGCAAUACAAGCCAAAAUAUAAAACAACUUGCAUGUAAAGGAUGCAUACAAGACAAACAACAAAGGACCUCAUUUCCAAGGAGUGUAACAACACGUUGUUGUAUGGUGUGAUUUGAUAUCUAGGAAUAUACUAGGUAUCUAUCUAUAGAGAGUUUAGCUUAAACCUUUAUAUGAAUCUCGUCUUAGCUUCCAAAACUUCUUUAAUUUUGCAUAAAACUUAAAAUAUAACAAAAUCCCUUGAAAACAUAUUUUUCCCGUGAAGGAUUUUCUUGCCUCAAACUUUAGAAAUUCAUAACUUUGGAUCUAGCCAUUCAGUUUGUCUCAAAUUUAUAGAAUAGGUAGAAUUCACCCUUAAUUUUUAUCACAAAAAAAUCAACUAUAAAUUUAUUCCCGAUCUUUUGGCAUCUAAGAAACCCUAGUAGAUGCUCUAAAUCCUAACUUACAAGCACUUGAGCACUAUUUUUUUAAUAUCUUAAGAAUCCAAUACUCAAAUAUCAUCAAACUUAUGCAUAAAGUUUACCAACAUGAAAUUACACAAUUUUUAAAAUUUUGAACCAAAAUCUUGUCAAAUUACUCAAGAUAUAGCUCAAGACACAACCACUAGUAAGUUAGGUUACUUACUACCCUUAGAUUGCAUGUGCUGAGUUCAAAAUCUAAUAAUUCCUUCAUCCCAAUUUGAAAUCCAGUAAGCAGUAUACAAAAAGUAUAGCCGCAAAAGUACUCUCUCCAAUCGUAAUUGCCGAUCUUCAGUUGCCUUCCGUACGUGUGUAUUAUGUCAAAAAAUAAGUGACAGUAGCUUCCAAAUCAACACCUUAACUUUAAGUACCUAUAUCUCCUUCAUAUAAACUCCAAAUAAUAUAAGAUCUAUACUAAAACCAUAGCCAAAAACCUAAACUUGCUGAUCCUAGCCUUCAAAGCUUGAAUGGCCCUAUGAAACUAAUCCUAAUCUCUAAUAUGGCCUCAGGCAGCCUCCUCAAAGUCCAUUGGUCAUGAUUUUUGACCAAUAGGAAUGGAGAUUUUUAUCAUCCAUUUCCAUUCAUCUAUAUUGGUGCCCUAAUUACUCUCUUUACUACCAAAACCCUUUUUCAAUAUUUUUUCUUAUAAGAUUUACAUAAUUUAUACUCUAAAUAUCAAAUAAAGAACCAAAAUAAGUUUUCAAUUGUCACCAACGUCUAACAAAGAUGACUCUAAAUAUUUAGAAGUUACUAUCAACCAAAACCAAUAUUAAAAUCCACUAUCAAAAAAGAAAUUAAAGUUAUACAAAUUCUAUAGUAAUCUUUUUAAACAACCUCUUUUCAAGGUAUUAAUCAAAUUAUAUUCUACAACCAACUAAAAUCUACUAACACGACUCUCACCAUGUUACUUAGUAAAUUAUAUAUUAAGUAUAUAGUUACAUUAUUUUUAUAUAGUAGCCAAAUCACAACAGGACAACGUGCUAUCAAGUUGCUGGAGAUUAUCUAUUCGUAUGUAUGUGGACUUAUGAAAAAUAUAAGUAUUAAAGGAUCAAGGUAUUUUCUCAUUUUCAUUGAUGAUUAUUCAAGAAAGAUUUGGAUCUCCAUUCUUAAAGCCAAGAGUGAAUACUUUUGGAGGUUUAAGGAGUUUAAAGCACUUGUUGAAAAAUAAAGUGAAUGCAAGAUUGAGAUGUUGUGUACGGACAAUGGAGAUGAGUACAUGUCUACAAAAUUUGAUGUUUAUUUGAAGAAUGUAGGAAUUACUAGACAAACCAAAAUCCCACAUACUCCAAAACAAAAUAGUGUUGCUGAAAGGGCAAAUCGAACCAUUAUAGAGAUGGCAAGGAACAUGCUUCAUACUCAAAUCCUUGGCUAUGAGUUUUGGACGGAAGCUGUGGUGAAUGUAGUAUAUAUAAGAAAUAGGUGUCCAACAAGUGCUCUUAUAUUAAUGACACUAUAAGAAGCUUGGAGUAGGAGAAAACCUUAAAUUUUCUAUAUGAAGACCUUUGAUUGCAUUACAUAUGUAAAAACAUCAAAUUGUAUGAGGUCCAAAUUUGAUGCGAAAGGUAUAGAGGCAUAUUUCUUGGUUAUUGUAAAGGUACUAAGGCAUAUAGGCUUAUGUAUUUGAAAACCAAGAAAAUCAUCAAAAAUUAUGAUGUUGAGUUUUUAGAGCAUAAGAGUACUUGUGAGUACUUAGAGAUGUGUACAAGUAGGAGUAAUGAUGUGUUUGUGGAUACAUCUUUGAAUUCAGUAAAGAAACAAAAAGAUGAAGACAAUGAAGAUGAUGAAGAUGAAAAGCCAAAGAAGGUUGAAAAGAUGAAGGCUCUUACAGUUGAUAGGACCAGCAAUGAAGAUAUUGAAGAUUGAGAUGAUGACAAUGAUGAAGAGUACCAAGCAUUGAAUGAGAAACGACAAGGUUUAAGAGAGAAGAAGGUUGGAAAAGAACAAGGAGUGCAACAAGGUGAAUGUUCUUCUACAAGUGAAAGGAGAUAUCCUUUGAGAGAAAGAAGGCAACGUGGCGAAUGGUGGAAGGAUUACCUCUUCUCUCAAAUAAGUAAAGAACAUACAAAUGUUGAUUUUUUUGUUGAUCAAUUAUCUUUGUGUGAUGCUAUCAAGUGUGAAGAUACAAUCAAGUAGAAGAAGGCUAUCGAAGAAGAGUACCAAUCUCUUAUGGACAAUGGUACAUGGGAAUUGGCAUCUCUUCCAGCAAAUUGAUCUAAUAUUCAUUGUAAGUAGGUAUUUAGGACUAAAAGAGAUGCAAUGGAUGUGGUGGUGAGGCAUAAGGCAAGAUUAUUUGCAAAAGAGUACUCACAAGUUGUUAGAAUUGAUUUCAAUGAGACUUAUGCAUAUAUUACCAAAUUCACCACCAUUAAGACCAUUGUAGCAAUUGGGGUAGCAAUGGAUAUGGAAAUACACCAAAUGGAUGUAAAGACGGCCUUUUUCAAUGGAGAAUUGUAAGAAGACAUCUACAUGGAUCAACUUCAAGGAUUUGAACAAAAAGAAAGAGAACAUCUUGUGUGCAAAUUGAAGAAAUCCUUGUAGGGAUUGAAACAAUCACUAAGGGCAUAGUACCAAUGAAUUGACACCUUCUUUAUCAAUGAAGGAUUUGUGAGGAGUGAGGCUGAGCAUUCAUUGUAUGUGAUGUAAUAUAGAGAGUUCUUGCUGAUUGUAAUCCUUUAUGUUGAUGAUUUGAUCAUCUUGGCUAACAAUAUGGAAAAGAUGGAUUGGAUGAAAGUCAAAUUAGAGAAAGAAUAUGAGAUGAGUGAUUUGAGAGAGUUGCACUAUUGCUUGGGAGUAGAAUUUGUAAGAGAUUGUGGUAAGAAGGCCAUUACAAUGAGCCAAACCAAGUACAUUGAAGAAGUGUUGAAACGAUUCAACAUGAUGAAGUGCAAGCCCAUUGGAACACCUUUGGAGGUAAAUUUGAAGUUGAUGAAGCUCACGGAUGAGGAGUUUACAUAAAUUAAAGGUGAAAUAUAAAGUGUUCUAUAUAAGGUACUAAUAGGCUCACUCAUGUAUGCAAUGGUGGCCAUAAGAGUGGAUCUUGCAUAUGCGGUAAGUAUUGUAAGCCAACACAUGUCUAAAGCUAGACUAAUGUAUUGAAAAACGGUAAAGAUGAUAUUGAAGUACUUAAAAGAUAUCAAAGACUUUAAAUUAUGCUUUAGUGGUAAGAACAUUGAUUUGCAAGGUUAUUGUUAUGCAGAUUGGGCUGGAGAUGCAAAUGAUAGAAGAUCUACAAGGAGAUACGUCUUUUUUAACAUCAUUGAUAUUUAACAUCAUUUCAUAUGAGAGAAGAUUGAAGAUGGAGUAAUGGAUAUGAAAUAUUGUGCUACAAAUGACAUGCUUGCUGAUGUGCUUACACAGGCAUUAGUAAAGGAUAGACAUCAUAACUUGAUUCAAAGAAUAGGAUUAAAAGCCUUUUGAAAAUUAGCAAAGUGGGAGUAUUGAAGAUCAGCAAGUUUUUAUGUAGUUACUACCAUAUAAAUAUUAAGCAUAGUAAGUUGUUAAUAGUCAAAAGGUAGCAAAGGAUUAAUAGAAGUUACUAUGGUGACAACUAGGAUUAUAAGGUGGCGGCUAGAUUAAGAUGAAUCUAAAUGUAGAUCUAGAUUGAAAGGAUGAACGUUACUCUGAAUGAGAUCUAUGUACUUGAGAUGUAAACUCCACCUAUAAAUAAAGAGUGUUAGAAGUAAGAGAUAUCUUUCUCUAUACUUCUCUUAGACUACAAUCUUUACUGAUGCUAAGUAUUUGUAGCUUUUAGACUUCUUUUCUUCAAUAACUUCUACCAUAAGCUACCAAAAAAUGUAAGAUGUGACUAUUUUAUUGGCUAAGUUUUUAACCUUUAAAUCACUUAUAAAUACAUGUUGAAAUGAAAUUGAACUCUCUCUAAAAUCUAAAACUCUUUUAGUCUAUAACAACAUAAUUUCUAUUACAAAGUAGGAUAAAAUGGACCAAAAUAAAAUUGAAUACGAUUAAAAAAAAUAAUACAUGAAAGAAGAACGAGAGCAAAAAAGAAUAGAAUAGAACUAAACAAGAAAUACAAAUCAAAUUUUACUAAGAGAAAGGAACCAAAGCCAUACUUGAUCAAAUGCUCUAAGUAGCCUUGAUCAGUCCUCUUUAUACUUUGUCCAACCAACUUGGAAUCUUAUAAAAUGUCUUUAAUGGUAGAUCCUAUCAAGAUAAUUAUCCUUUUAGAAGAUUUUAGUAGUAGGUCCUGUCUAAAUAACUGCCCUAAAUUCUUCUAGAAUGUUCUAUAGUAGAUCCUACAUAGAUAUGUACAAUUAUCUUAUCUAUGUCUAAUUAUAAUUUAUUCUCCUUAACGAAUGUGGAACGUCCUCAUUUCAUUUAUGAUGGUAACUCUAGAUUAUUUUUUAAUAAUAAAUGAGGUUUUGUAUAGGUUCCUAUGUUAUAUUGUAGAUAGAAUAAUCUUUCUAGAGGACUUUAUAUUGAAGUUGCAGACAACUAUCACCGCAACAAAGGUAGUGACACUCCAAAAUACUAUCUACCUCAUACUCUUGUUGGUCAUCAAUCACAAGUAGCAGUGUCGUAUUACGUGCUUUUCUACUCGAGAAUGCACCGAACGUCUGGCUGUAGGAGGUAGUAUAGAAAUUCGCUAAUAUUCAAGCAAUCUAUCAAUUUUUGACUAUUGGAAUAUAAACGAUCGCAAGAAUAUAUCAUAAAUCUAUAUGGAUGUCCUUUGACUGCUCGCCAAAAUCCAUUUAUGUCCCAGCCGGUAGGUCUCUAGACGUUACAAAGAACCCCGAACAACCUAAUUUGAUAAUCUUCGAUACCGCUUUAUACUCACGACCUUUUAUCCACUGACUGUCUUGUUAGAUUAACCCAAAAAUCUUCAUUCACUCUACAUACUCAAUCCUAUAGACACCCUUUUAAUUCUUCAAUCACAGACGUAACUUUGAUUUCACAAAACAGUUAAGAGUAAUCACACCUACUUUAUUAAAACUCCGAUUCACUAGUACAAAACAUUGACUUUCCAGCAUUGAUCGCCAGAAAUCUCUGUUCUGACCCUAUCCAAAAACCUUGUAUCUUCUCUUUUUCUUAACCUCUCUAAUCUUCGAAUCUCUGAAUCCUCUCUUCCUCCCUAAGCAUUUCCGAAUGUUUUCUCUCCUAUAUAUUCUUUCAAACUCUAGCCUUUGAAUUUCUUCAAUCUUCCAUCUUGGAUCUACAAUUGGCUCUGCUGUCAAAGCUUUCUCUUCUAUUUUUUGCCUUUUAAAAGGUUCUCUUUUCGAAAACAAUGUUCCUUGAAAUGACACAAAAAAUAGGACAGCCUGAAACGGAAUCAAAACCCCCGUAAUUGGGACCACAUUGAGUUGCCCAACCAAAUCAAGUCUCAUAUUGGCUAAGAGGCCCGUAAUAAGACCUGGAUGUUCCCGUAAUUGGAUCAAAUUGGUCCUUCGCGUCAGGCUCGGUCAAUCAUCAAUUUAGUCCUUUUGAUUCUGUUGAUUCUCACUAUUGGACUCGAAUGGAACAUUUUGUUACUGGUAAGUAUGUCCUGACCGAUUGUGACGGGGUGUUUGAAACUGGCCCCUGAAUAUUGGCACUGGAAUCGGUCGUUGCUUUCAAUAUUCGAGGUAACUAAACAUUAAUAAAAGUCCCCUUUCUUUAUAUUGUCAUAGUAUACUCAUCUUACAACACGACAUCCACCCCCACUGAACCUGUGCAUCUUCCGGUAUGCACCAAUUUAUCCAAUUGUUGUUUGAUUUAUAAUAUAUUCUCUAUGUCUUUGUUCAGUUCGACUUCAUCACCUUCAUUAUCUAAAUCAUUGUCAUCUUCUUGCUGCGGAAUCUCUAUACCUUCAUUAAGGUCUUCCAUAUUCAUCUUCGUGUGUCUUCGUUUAAAUAUUUUUACUCGCUUCCCUGCAAUUGGUAUUUUUAAUUUUGUACCAUCUAACUCCCGUAACGAGUAAGUCGCAUUAUCAUGAAUAGUUGUUACUACAUAUGGUCCAAACCAAUGUUUUAAAAAUUUCUGCAAAGUACUAUGUUGAUUAUCCAAACUAUUGUCAUAAACAAGUAUCUAGUCACCUUCCUCGAUUGCUUUAGGUCUCAAUCGAUGUUGCUUAUCAAAUCGUGCCUUGUUUUGUAACCUUGUUCUUUUUAGCCUUUCCAAUGGUGUCUGCACAUCUUUUGAUCUUUAACAUAAUUGUCGAAUCCUAAUAAUCAGAAGUUCUUCCCUUGUCAAUCCAUCUUCCCAUAGUAGCAUAUCCUAGGUAAGUACCUUUUCUUCAAUCGGCAUAAUUGAUUUUUGACCUGACAUAAGUUCCAUUGGCAUAUAUCCUGUCACCUAACUGUGUGUUGUUUUAUCAGCCCAUAAUGCAAACGGCAAAAGUCGUGGCCACUCUCUAAUCUUCCCAUUACAAGCUUAAACCAAUGCUUUCACAAUCGGUGGGUGACCACGUUCACUUUUUACAUUUCUUUCCAAAUUAUAAGCAAUAGUCAACGAUAGUCUAAUUUCACAUCUGUCAAAGAAUUUACAUGCUUCUUGUGCAUUUAAUUCUCCUCGAUCUGCAGUGAUUUUUCCUACACAUUUGUAACGACAAAUAACAUCUUCAAGCAAAAACCUACAAAUUCCUUUUGUAGAUUUCGUUCUCAAUGCUCUUCCUUCCACUUGAUUUGAUAAGUCUUCACGAGCUAAGACCAAAUAUCUCAUUUGUCAUAAUCCGAUUGGCAUAAUAACCAAAUCAACAAUCCAUUUAAAAUGAAUUGUCAGAGGAUACGUAGGAUGAAGACCAUCUUGAUGUCGGAUAUAAAAAUAUGAUUGACAGAUUUCACAUGACUCUACAAAUGAGAGUACAUCUCAAUACAUAUUUUUCCACCAAUACCGUUCCUUGAGUUUGGCAAAAGUAGCCCAAAUUCCUCUAUGCCCUGUCCAUAAUCUAUCGUGAAACUCUUUUAAUAAUUUUAAUUUUUCUUCCUUUUUGCCUAUCAUGUGUUGAGGCAACCCAAUUCCUUUCUUCGGUCUUUUUUAUAAGAAUCCUUCUUGAAGCAAAAAUCCAUAUGCUUUUUUUCUUACUUGUUUGAAUUUCUCCGUAGACCAAUUUUCUUGCUUAGUCAAGGUACUCAAGUAAUGACCAAUAUCCAAUAGUUCACCUUCAUAAGAUUCUUCAAGAAAUAGCUUUUCUUCCCUGUUCAGAUUUGAUAUCGAAUAAAUUUUCAAUCCGACGUCAUCAAUGUCUUCAACCAUUUUGUCUUCCUUUUCGUAUCUUGCUCAAGAUAGCAUAUCUACUACUAAAUUGUCCUUGCCGGUGACAUGUUUAAAUUUUGGAUUUAAUGACUUAAUACAAGAAAUCCAUCUCAACAUUGCAAUAUCUGGCGUUGAACAGUUAGUAUUCAUUCCAAGCAAUGGCAAGUAAUCUGUUUCAAUUACUACUACUGUCCUAAUCAAAUAGUCCCUUUCAGCUUUCAUAGCCGAAACAACCCCCCAAAGUUCUCUUUUGACUUGCAAAUAUGCACGCUCACGAAUACUUAAAACUUUAGCUCCAAAUCGAACUACAAAUCUAUUCCGACUUGAAUCAUCUUGACCCACAGUCCAUCCAAUGGCAAUUGAACUAGUGUCCACAGUAAGAAUCACUGGUCUAUUACACUUAUAAUCAACCUUCCUCAAUAUUGGAGGUAACAUCAAUAAUUUCUUCAAUCUUUGCAUUGCCUGAAUAUGCCUUUUUUUCUAUUUAAAUCGGUAGCCUUUGCGUAAUAAGUCAUAUAAUGGAUCCGCUAUGUGAGCAUAAUGAGGGAUCCAGAUUCGAUAAAAUACACAUGCACCUAAAAAUCUGCGAAUCUCUGUUAAAGAAUCACAAUCCUCUUUCAUCCUUUCAAUUGCAUCAAUUGUAGUCGGAUUUGGUUUUCUUCCGUAAGAUCCACAUAAAUGUCCAAUAAUCACAACCUCUUGUACUCAAAAUAUGGACUUCAUACCCGAUAAUGUAAGAUGGACUUCUCCAAGCCGAGUUAAAAUCUUUUCACAAUCUUGUAUAUGAUCAACAACAUAUUUGUGACACCCCCUCUUAUCUAAAGUUUCAUCCUUGUCUCCUUCUCUACAUCCUUUUAUACAAACAUCAUCUAGAAAAGUCAUAGUCUUCUCCAGAAUAAAAUCUCUCAAUACCUUAUUCAUCCCAUUCAUUAUAUGCACAACUGAGUUGGUUGCGCCUUGAGGAAGAGUGCACAUUCUAACCAAUCCAAGUGGUGUCCUCAUUAUUCUCAUAUCUUUUCUUCCUUCGGCAAGUUGAAAUUGAUCAUAACCUCAAUACAAGUCAUCCAUUGAAUAGAUCGCCCUUCUUGCAAACACCUCAGCAAAUUUGUCCACAAUAGGUCCAAUUCCUGCAUUCUUGAUAGUUACUGCAUUCAUCGGUUGCAUAUCUUGAAUAAAACGUAGUGACCCAUUCUUCUUAGGUACCGUAAACUAUCGACGAGAAUAUGGCACAAAUGAAGGUUCCAAUAUUUUCAUCUUUAUCUUUUCUUUUAAUAGUUCCACCAAUUUCGAUAAAUAUGCCCUCGGUACUAGAAUCGGUCUUAGAUUCCAAGGUACAUGCAGUACAGUGAAGAUCACCAUAGGUGUUACAAUAUUUGGAUCCACACACCCAAUUUCAUAAGAUUCGAAGGCAAAUGAUCUACCUUGUUUAGCCAACAUCUUUUUGAAGCAAGUAAUUUCUUCCGGCAAUAAAGAACCAUCAUAACCAAUCUUCAAUUCUUCAAAAGUCUCUUUAGUAAACUGAUGUCCAAUAUUCAUUGGAUCUCUUAAACUUGCUUCUUUUGAUGCUUCUCCCAUUUGUUCCUUAGAAUCUUCUAGUAAUGACACGGCAGCAAGCUUUAUCUUCUUAUCUACCAUUUUAUAUCUCGUCUCUACAAUGACUUCUGGUACUUGAAAAGAUUCAAAUAUGGUAUAAAGCUCUCUUGAAUGAAUCUCAACAAUCUUAUCAUUAUCUCCUAACCCAAUAGAUGUAAUCAAUUCCAAUGAAUCUUCCAUUCCAUUUUCUUCAUAAACACCUAAAAUCCUCUCAUCAUCUUGCAAUGUACCUAACUUGCGUAAUCCUCCUUCAAUAUUAUAUAAUCUUUUUCUUUCUUUUCUUUUAAAAUCAUCAAAUUUUUUAUACAUAAUAUUUCCAUUCUCCAAAAUACCAAUAAAACUCGCAUCAAAGGCACCUUCAUCCCGAAAAAGUACCUCCGCUUUUAUACCUCCAUAAUCUCGCCUUAUAGUAGUACCUCCUCAAAAUCCUUAAAUCCUUCAACAAUCUUUGGCAAUGGUUUCUUCCUUAACCUGUCUCGAUUCCGUUCAUGGUUAGAAGGUACUGUUAGAAAUUGUACACCUUUCCUCCCAUCUUUGCUACGUGCCCUUGAAUAAGCAAAACCAUCAUCAAGUAC
Molecule: long non-coding RNA, 35477 nt
Filed under: Physcomitrium patens
Lineage: Eukaryota; Viridiplantae; Streptophyta; Bryopsida; Funariales; Funariaceae
Description: long non-coding RNA (PPAT_LNC006952)
Source: RNAcentral